Non-coding RNA from Arachis ipaensis, 855 nucleotides. NCBI's taxonomy places the organism in Eukaryota, Viridiplantae, Streptophyta, Magnoliopsida, Fabales, Fabaceae. The record is from RefSeq and is a predicted model, not a curated record.
UCUCUUGCAUGUAAUGUGAGACACAUGGGCACACCUUGUACCUUGUCUCUCUGAGAUGAUGAUGGCGUUCUCUCUCUGCCACACCUCUUCUUUCUUCAUCGUUCACCGCUUCCCACAACAAACUUUGAUAAGAACAAGACGAAUUCAUUUCCAAUUGAUUCGUGCAGUGCAAUCAGGGGAAUCAGAAACUGAAAAGUCUGCACAGAAAAAGACUGAAGAAUCACCAUCUUCAACUGCUGCUGCUUCUCCUCCUCCUAGACCAAAGAAACCCGUCUAUUCUAUGAAGAAGGGCCAGAUUGUGAGAGUGGACAAAGAAAAAUAUCUCAACAGCAUCAAUUAUCUUUCUGUUGGGCAUCCGCCAUACUACAAAGGAUUGGAUUACAUCUAUGAAGACCGUGGGGAGGUCCUGGAUAUGCGUAUAUUUGAAACAGGGGAGUAUGCACUUGUAAGUGAUCCUAUAUCAAACUCAUUCUUACCCUUGUUAGUUUGUUUACAUGAAAUACAGAAGAAAGAAAAGAAUAGAGAAAUUGCAAUACACAACGGAACUGAUGAGAACUCCUAGUUAAAAUUGACAGAUUGCAUGGGUAGGAAUCCCCACUGCCCCGGCUUGGCUUCCAACAGACAUGCUUAUCAAGUCAGAGAAGCUCAAUUAUGAGAGGCUAUGAUCUGCAGUUUGGUACAGAUAUAUGCUAAAUAUUUAGAUCAGUAAAAUUUCAUUUUCCGGUGUUGUAAGAAAGUAUGAUUAAAGAUUCAACAUUUCAAAAGAUCCAGAAGUUUUUGGAGAUCACCAUCGCUGAUUCAUUGUAUAUGUGCCUCGUUAUAAUUAAUAAAUAAAGGUUAUAGACUUAUAGUAUA